Molecule: long non-coding RNA, 2019 nt
Organism: Eriocheir sinensis (Chinese mitten crab)
Lineage: Eukaryota; Metazoa; Arthropoda; Malacostraca; Decapoda; Varunidae
Exons: 7
Source: RefSeq, a predicted model, not a curated record
CAAAUUACUGAUACAUGAAACGGUUUUAAGUAAUGUAAGAAAUGUAAGAAAUGCAAUCCCAGACGCCAUACUGUUGCUUCUAAUCCUCCCUCACCAGCCCCUUCAGCCAGGGCCUUGGGCUGGGUAGUCACCCGCUGGCCUGGUGAAGGAGUGGCAGGGGGAAGUGGUCUUUGUCUGUGGUCUGUGGUCGUCUGUACGAGGAGCCUGUAGUCAGCGGUGUUUGUGUGUGCGUUAAUGAGUAACCGACUUCGAGUAUCACAAACACCGCUACUGUUCAGAAGAGCGACUCCGAAGUGAUCCCAGUGUACUGGGCAUGGUUGAGAAAUUCCCUCUGUACUAGGAGUCUGUAGUCAGUGGUGUUUGUGUGUGCGUUAAUGAGUAACCGACUUCGAGUAUCACAAACACCGCUACUGUUCAGAAGAGCGACUCCGAAGUGAUCCCAGUGUACUGGGCAUGGUUGAGAAAUUCCCUCUGUACGAGGAGUCUGUAGUCAGGUGUGUUUGUGUGUGCGUUAAUGAGUAACCGACUUCGAGUAUCACAAACACCGCUGCUGUUCAGAAGAGCGACUCCGAGGUGAUCCCAGUGUACUGGGCAUGGUUGAGAAAUUCCCUCUGUACGAGGAGUCUGUAGUCAGGGGUGUUUGUGUGUGCGUUAAUGAGUAACCGACUUCGAGUAUCACAAACACCGCUACUGUUCAGAAGAACGACUCCGAAGUGAUCCCAGUGUACUGGGCAUGGUUGAGAAAUUCCGUCUGUACGAGGAGUCUGUAGUCAGGGGUGUUUGUGUGUGCGUUAAUGAGUAACCGACUUCGAGUAUCACAAACACCGCUACUGUUCAGAAGAGCGACUCCGAAGUGAUCCCAGUGUACUGGGCAUGGUUGAGAAAUUCCCUCUGUACGAGGAGUCUGUAGUCAGGUGUGUUUGUGUGUGCGUUAAUGAGUAACCGACUUCGAGUAUCACAAACACCGCUACUAUUCAGAAGAGCGACUCCGAGGUGAUCCCAGUGUACUGGGCAUGGUUGAGAAAUUCCCUCUGUACGAGGAGUCUGUAGUCAGGUGUGUUUGUGUGUGCGUUAAUGAGUAACCGACUUCGAGUAUCACAAACACCGCUACUGUUCAGAAGAGCGACUCCGAGGUGAUCCCAGUGUACUGGGCAUGGUUGAGAAAUUCCCUCUGUACGAGGAGUCUGUAGUCAGGGGUGUUUGUGUGUGCGUUAAUGAGUAACCGACUUCGAGAAACACAAACCCCGCUACGGUUCGGAAGAGCGACUCCGAAGUGAUCCCAGUGUACUGGGCAUGGUUGAGAAAUUCUGUCUGUACCAGGAGUCUGUAGUCAGGGUGUUUGUGUGUGCGUUAAUGAGUAACCGACUUCGAGUAUCACAAACACCGCUACUGUUCAGAAGAGCGACUCCGAAGUGAUCCCAGUGUACUGGGCAUGGUUGAGAAAUUCCCUCUGUACGAGGAGUCUGUAGUCAGGGGUGUUUGUGUGUGCGUUAAUGAGUAACCGACUUCGAGUAUCACAAACACCGCUACUGUUCAGAAGAGCGACUCCGAAGUGAUCCCAGUGUACUGGGCAUGGUUGAGAAAUUCCCUCUGUACGAGGAGUCUGUAGUCAGGGGUGUUUGUGUGUGCGUUAAUGAGUAACCGACUUCGAGUAUCACAAACACCGCUACUGUUCAGAAGAGCGACUCCGAAGUGAUCCCAGUGUACUGGGCAUGGUUGAGAAAUUCCCUCUGUACGAGGAGUCUGUAGUCAGGGGUGUUUGUGUGUGCGUUAAUGAGUAACCGACUUCGAGUAUCACAAACACCGCUACUGUUCAGAAGAGCGACUCCGAAGUGAUCCCAGUGUACUGGGCAUGGUUGAGAAAUUCCCUCUGUACGAGGAGUCUGUAGUCAGGGGUGUUUGUGUGUGCGUUAAUGAGUAACCGACUUCGAGUAUCACAAACACCGCUACUGUUCAGAAGAACGACUCCGAAGUGAUCCCAGUGUACUGGGCAUGGUUGAGAAAUUCCGUUAAAGUGGA